GUAUUCCCUCUGUAUUUCAAAAUGUUAGGACAAAAAUAUUUGCCGAUUUUGAUUUUUAUGUGGAUGAAUUACUCAUGCAAAUGUCAGGACUUUGAGACGUUUGUUGCCCCAAUAGUGGACAACAAAGGGGCGCCACUGGUUGCAAUUGUAAAUACAACUAACAUUAGUUCACAUAUUGUUCGGUCAAUAGAAAUGCCACUACGGGCAAUAAUCAACUCAACAAUAGAAUGCAGAAUAAACGAAAAGCUUAAAGAAGAUUUAGUGUCGAGUAAAGUUUUGAGAAACGUUAACAACAAGUUUGACGCCUUACAACAAAAGAUGGACGAAUAUAUUGGAGAUAACCGGAACCAAAUAACUAAAGUUAACCAGGACAUUGCUACUUUACGGAAUGAAAUGGAAGAAUUGAAGAAUUUGGCUAAAACUGUCAACGACAUGAAUUCAAGAGUUGCCCUUUCAGCAUGUGCUGCGUCUCAUGUUACUAUCAGACCACCAACAACUAUAAAAUUCCCGGACAUCGUAACAAGCGAAGGAAUCACCAAUCAACAUCUAACCUCAUUUAAAUCCACUGGUAUAUUUGUGUGUGAAGUUCCUGGUCUGUACCAUAUUUCCGUCGUCAUAAUGUCAUAUGCUACUAAUGCACAUGUCAAAAUAUCUAAAAAUAAUAGAGAACUGGUUAAAGGGUUUAUUAGCAGUUAUUAUACCGGACAUGGAAAUUAUUCUCAUUCAAAUGCAGCAGUUGUGGUCACUGAAUUACAGAAGGGUGACAGUAUCGAUAUAAAACCAAUAGAUAAAGACAUGAACAUAAACGCCCAUAACUAUUCGUGUCUUACUAUUGUUAAAGUGAAUUGAUUUGUAUCAGUAUUUGAAAAUUAUUACAUUGUACGAAAUGAAAGAAUGUGAACGGAAAACCUCCCUUUUGAUUAAAAAAAUAUAAUUCUU
Molecule: long non-coding RNA, 939 nt
Organism: Mytilus californianus (California mussel)
Lineage: Eukaryota; Metazoa; Mollusca; Bivalvia; Mytilida; Mytilidae
Exons: 2
Source: RefSeq, a predicted model, not a curated record